AUGCUGUGGAAGGCUCUUGAGAGCACUCAAGUAGAGGCAACUGGAUUCUCCAGGUGUUACUAAAAUAGGAGAGGUUAUGUAAGUCAAGAUGGUAGAGCUGACUUGGGAAUCACUUCGCAUUUGUAUUUUUUCUGUGCUCAGUAAAUUAAUUCCCAGCAGGACAUUUGAACUGAUAAGACAGUGAAGCUUAGAGAAACCAGACACCAUGGUAUGGAUUUGUGUGUGUAUGUGCUUAAAAAAAGGUUUAUCUAACUUUCAUGAGAACACUGAAUAUAUUUAAUAUGACAUAAACUAUUAGACUUUUGUACAUUCAGCUAAUAGCACAUGACUAAAAGAAGAGAUGAAAUGUGGUGAAUUGCCUCUGUGCUAUGGUGCUAGUAUGCUUGAUCUCUUGUCCUUAAGAAUAAUAUGAGUGAUGCUGUGGUUAGAAAAGUUUCAUAUAAAUGGUACCUCUGUCUUAGAGGAAGAUCUGGUAAAUGGAUUUAUUUCCCAAUGGGACAAUGAACAAAAUUGUUCAAUAUAUUUAAUACACAACGAACUUCUGCAAUCAUACAUAAGAUUUAAGUCUUUUGAGUAAAGAGGUAAUCUAUGCAGUAGUAUGUUUUUCACAGAGACUUUUCUUGGAUUUUCAUCUUUCAGACUCUAUCUUCUUAGUGAUUGAGUUCUAGUCUUAGUCUUCCUUAUAAGAGGUAAAUAGAAUAGUGAGAAUCCUCAGAUAAGCCAUAUAUUUUCCAUCUGCCUUUUAUUUUUCCUUAUCUUUGUCCAAAUGGUUCUUCGUAAUAUAUAUAUUACAUAUAUGUGUGUGUGUGCGUGAGUGUGUAUCUGGCAUUAAGCCAUAUGUACUGUAUAGAGAGAUUGGAUGUGUUUUCAUGUCCUCACUUACCAAUUUCAGAAUAUUAUAGAAGGAAACAAUGCCUGUAUAGCUAUAACAAGAGAUUUCCUCCCAAAUCCAAAUUCUUUUAAAAGAGGGUCAUAAUUUUUACAUUUAAUUGUUUAUAAGAGUUGAUGAAAGGCACCAGAGUGACAAGCCCUAGAAGGCAGCGUUUUCAGAUUUUCUACCCAUCAGUGGCAGAACUGGUGGGUGGUAAAUUUCCCCUUAGAAAUCCCAUUAAGGUUUCUCAAUGUCCUCCUUAACUUGGCCUUAUUCCACGUGAACCUUCAUGUCCUGGGUUUUAGGUCUGACAAUGAGGUAAUUAUGAAAAGAAUAUUGGUUCUAUAAUAAACUUAGCCUUUUAUUUCAACUACACCGAAUGACGGCAGAAACAUGAACAGCCAGUUAGCUGGAGCAGUAUGCACAUGACCAAGGAAAAUGAGAGGGAGAAAAAGACCAAUGACCCCCCAACGCCCACUCAGAAACCCCAAACAAUAGUGCACUUCUAAAUUUAGGAAACAACUCAUGGCCAGGAUAUCUUUAUAGCGACAGAGCUGGAAGCCAGGCUCCUGAGUGAAAAGUAUAUUUAGCUCACACUUAAAAAUUUGAUUUCCUUAUAUUGUCUUCUUCCCUCUUAUCAUUGUUUAAAGACAAGUCCUGGACUAUUGAGUCUCUCUUCCCCCUGAUCAGGGAAUUUACUGGAGAGUCUAACUUGUGAUACAUUGGUUGGCAGAGGUGUAUUCCCAUUAUAUUCAAAACUAUGUUCACGGAAAAUCUUUCUCUGUUUUGGUCAUGCUAGUUCAGUGGUAGAAAAUGAAAGCCCACUGUCAGCCAUGAGACUCUUAGGCACACAGCUGUGGCAAUACCAGAAAGCCUUCCAGAAGAAGGAAAUCCCUUUCUGGUGGUAAGCAUUGCAUUUUGCAAUGAAAGAAUAGCAAGGGAGCCUUUUGUGAAUUCUUGCUAGCAGCCUCAGAAUUGGAGCAUCUGCUGCUGCCUGGAGGUGAGUCUUGGGCUCUCUUGUCAUUUAUCAGUAUGGCUUCCAGGUUCCAUUCUCCCAGCUUUCUACCUCCUCCCUCUUCCCUGGAAGGCGUCCAAGGUGCUAGGGGGUGAAGAUGAUUCAGCAGGAUGAAAGCUACCUGAGCACACCUCCCUAACACCCACUCCUUUAAGCACCAAAGGUAAGGAGAGAGCACCUCUGCCCCCAGAAGAAAGAUUGCACAGGUGCAAUUUUACAUUUUCAAUUCUUUCCCUCUUUAACACUAGAUAAACUUACUUCCCUUGUUAUAAGUUUUCCUGAGGAUGCCAGAAAAGAUUUUCCUCUUGCUGAUUUUUUUGUGCCUUCCUAUCUUGAUCACAGAUAGUUGACUGAGUGAAAGCUAACUCAGAGAGAAUUACCAGAUAAUGAUGAUGUGUAUAUGGCUGGUGAACCCUACAGUUCUUGCUCAAACAUAUUUCAUACCUAAAGUCAUGGCUGUUACUUGCUUAUGUCACUGAAUCAAAUGGAUGAGAUGAUUUUACAAGUGAUACAGUAUUUACCUUCAGUAAAGUAGAAUAUCUUCCUAGUGUGGUUGGUAUUACCUAGAUUUGGAUAUUCAGCUGGUCAAAUCACAGCCCCUUGGUCAUUUUGCUUAUGAAGAACCAGAAAGCCUGACUCUGAUUCCUCUCUGAGUGGUUUUACUCACUCUAGCAUUAGAACCAGAAUCCACUGGCUCUGAUGCUUCUCUGACUGGAGUUAUUUGAAGAUUAUUCAUUGGAAUAAGAAUGUUGAAGACAUUUAAGCAACUUCGUGUUCCUGGUAAGGCUUGUAUAACCUACCUGUCUCAAUAAGGAAUUAUUUUCUGAUCAAUGAUUUCAGUGAUCUUUUAUUACAUUUCAUUUCUUUAAUACGCACAUGGAUUUAGUUGGGAUGUCAAAUGCUUAAGCCCUUUACAUCAGUAAAGAAAACAUGUGUUCUUAACUUAUUUUACAUGUUAAUAAAAUAAGUUAACUUGUUUUUACAUGUUAAAAAUAAAACAUGCCCACAAUAAAUCAUUAAGAGUAGCCAAUGAGACACAAACCUAAAUCAAGAUACUUUUGUCAUUAGCACUAAUUUUUUUGAGAACAAAAACAAGCUAUCAGGCAUUUUAAAAAAAAGUUUUAUAGGUUGUUGGUUAGUAGCUUCCAAUCAUGGGAUUUUCCCAGAAUAAGAUUUUGAUAAGACAGUAAAGAAAAACACAGACACACAUCCUGUUUCUCCCGCCCCUCCAGCUCAAGCUUAUCAACUUUAAAAACAGUUACAUUUUAAACACUUAAAAAAAGAAAUCAAAUCACCCUCCCCCCAUAUAUUUAUAUAUGUAUAUAUAAACAAUAGCUUUUAAAUUAUUGGGGCAUUUCAUACCAUAUGGAAAAGGAAAAAACUAAAAUAUAAGACAAAUGACUUGCAUGUCAAAGCAACACACGUGUGGGGUACAUCUGACUUUAUAACUGGGGAGGAAAAGAGCAUGUUUUCUUGCAAACAGCCUCUAAAAAAGGUUGCUCAUGACUCAGUUCCUCUCUCUUGCCGUCACAUAGAUACAUAUAUGAUUCAGUGUGCUGUUCGACACACUGUUGUAAAGACUGACUUUUUUUUUGCAAGUCUGAAUUACUCCCCUGCUUGGUCAUUAUUUGUUGAUUAUAAUGGUAUUACACAUUGUAUUGAUUUCAUCAUAGUGGAGAUUAAAAAUAUGAAAGCAAUUUAGAAUUGGAGGUGUGCAACAAAAUGAAAUGAAGAAAGUUAACAUAGCAACCAAAUUUCUGUUUUGUGUUUGUUUUGUCCUUGUAGAAUAGGCACAACUUUGACCCAUUUGCAGUGUGGAAAGUUAUCUUUUGAACUUUAUUGGAAUUAAUACAGUUAACCAAUUUAGGAGAAUGUAAAUUUGCAUUUUUGUGGUCUUCUAAUGGCUAUUUUGCAUAUUAAAGGUAAGGCCUUCCUUAAAAUAUGCAGUCCUCUCUUGAUUAUGCCAGCUCUUUGCUCAUUCUGCUAAAGCUAUAAAUAAAGCUUCUAUUUAAGGCUGGCAUUAUAUCAACCCACCUGCUUCUACCAGAGAGAGAGAGAGAAAAAAAAAAUCAGAAUCACUCAACCUGCAGAUUGCUGUCAGCUUGUGAUUAUGUGAAUGGUAAGUCUUAACUUUUAAAGUGUUAUGUGAGAUAAGCUGGAGGGCUUUUUUAAAAAGCAAUUUCCAGUUUAACAAUUACCCAAGAAUGUCUGAGUACCAAUGAAUAGGAGACUUUUCCCUGGAGAGAGCAUUCAUUGAUGAAGUAGGACAGCAGCUGGGAGGUGACAGUGGUGAGUAAGGCAAGAGCUAGAGAAUGAGGGAUCUUUUCAAUUGUGUCAUCAGGAAAGGAGGCAGGAAUGGGGGAGUACCAAAUCUUUCCUCUCUCUGUGAGCUGUCUAGGGGGAGUUAGUAUUUCCAGCUCUUUCCCUCCUUCCUAUUCAGAAUGUUUUCCAGGGAGAUGAGGGAGGGGGAGGGAGAAGAGGUAUUAAAGACCUUGGCCAUCUGGAGAAGGGCAGUCAGUCUGGGGUACAUGCAAGCUUGUCUUGAUCGGAUUGCCGUGUUUUGAAAGAGGAACAUCAGCUUCCAUUCAGGCCUGUUUUAGAAAAAUAAAUCUUUUACAAACUCCUUAAUUAUGUCUAUUUUUUUUUGCUACAAAUAUUUUAUCUUAGACAAUCUAUUGAAAAGCUCACACCAAGAUAAGCGGCUAACAUCUGGGGGGAAAAUAUUCAGCUACAUUAACUGCCACCAAAACAGAAAGCCAACUUCAGAUUUGGAAACCUGUCAUUCAAUGUUGAUUUAAAACAUUGUUUACUUGCCUCAAUUGUGGAAGUCUAGACCUAUGGCUCCUAAACCCAGUUGUCUUUAGGUAUCUUAGCUAGGUAUCUUAGAAAAUCAGCUCUCAUUUUGAUCUUGUUGACUAACGCUGUGAUGCUCUCCUUUCCCCACAGCAGUACUUUUGCUGGAGUGAGAAUGAGCAGUCUUCCUUGGGAAUGGCUUUGAAGCCAUUAAGGGGAGAGUAACAGAUUUGUGUCCAAAGUUUGCAAAAGUACUCUCUGCUGCCCAACAUGCAAAUCUAAAAUCAAGUCAGAUAAUAUUCCUUGAGGCUUUCCGUAUACAAAGGCAAAGAUAACUCUAGAACUCCUCAAUCAGAAAAUGGUAAGGAUUUUAGGAGAAAGGUUGGGAGUUUCAAAGCCAAGGGCGGAAAGUCACUGGCAAUCACCAGGCAUCUGAUAUUACUAGUCUAAUGGGGAAUGUUUCUAGGACCUUCUUCCCAGGAGCAAAAGGGAUAAAGCUUUACCUAAGAACUGAGUAGAAUGAAUGGCCUUGGCCGCAAAUGUUCGGUUACCAGGUUCAUGUGGCACAAAAUCCACUUGGAAUGGCUCAAGUGAGCUAUAUAAAGGUGACCAGGGCAAUAAGGAAUAGGGAUAAACAUAGACACUGGCAAAAGUUAAAGAGCAUAACCUCUGAUGCGUCUUCAGUUAGAAGCUAACUAUAAAAACAAGUAAUAAAGUUAAUAGGAUGGAAAUGGAUUCAAGUGUCUCCCUCCAACCUUUCUGUAAACUCUUGAUCAGCCUUUUUGUCAGGUGUUAGUCUUCUAAGCCGAAGAUUAUAUAUAUUUUUUUCUUUCUUAGAAACCUCAAGACAUACUCUGAGGUGUUGAACAGUUAACGUCAACAGUUCCUAAAGGAUAGUUGGAAAGAAAUACUCUGAGAAGAUGAUGAACCAGAGAUGAGUACUAGGAGCAAAAUUUGGUCCAUGUGCUGAUCCAAGCUGUUAUUCCCCACCAUGCUAUGGUCUAGUAGGAUCUAACAAAGAGGUACAAAUUGUGGCACACCACCUUCUGAAGAAACCAAGGGCUUUGUUACAGUAAACUGGUCCAGGGCGAUAUCACAAGUAUAAAAAAUAUUCCAUUCUGUAUCAAAACUAGGCACAUGCCUUUAUUUAUAGUAACAGAAGUUAACAGAGUUGAGCAUUGUUGCCUUGGGUCCUAUUUCUUGGCAUCCUACAUCAGACAAACGCAUCUUUCAACAUAUAUCCGCCCAUAACUCCAGGGAUCUAGUCUCAGGGUUAUCUCUAUGUAAAGGAAGGUGAAAUCACACUUGGAUCUAUAGUGGACAGAAAGCACUGCAAAGAAGACUUGGAUUUCCUCUGAGGACAGAUUCAGAAGAUCCUGCAGAAGGAAGUCCCCAAAAGGAUGAUAUAGUGAUAAGAGAGGAUUUCAGCCAUCAUGGAAAAAAGAAAAAAAAAAAAGAAAAAAAAGAAAGAGAUGAUGUUGAUUGUAUGUUUUUGUUUAAAAAGGAAGCUUAGAAGAGUAACAGCUACUUUGAUGGAUGAUAAGAACUCAGUCGUGUGGAUACAUCUAUGCCUGGGGGGCUGGGGAAUGAAGUUUAACUAUGUACCUAUGAGGAAGAGAAAGUAAGUUUGGUAAGUAGCUAGCCAUUCUCUUUCAAAAUAAAUAUAAAUUGAUUAUUAAGUAUCAAUCUAGUGUGCAUUGCUAUAUUUAAGCUUCCAUUGUUUAUUUUUCAGAAAGGGUUUAGACAGCUGGAAAAUUACUUUAUUAUCUAAAAUAUCAUUGAUACAAUUUUACAUGCAUUUGUUUUUUCCUUUCUAGCAUUCUUUUCUUUUUUCUUUUUUUCAUUUUUACACAUUAGGGAAACAGACAAUGGUAUCUUGCCACACUAAGGUUCAACUUUGGUGCUUAUUGAUGUAAUCACUGCCAGAUAGAGGACCGCAUCUAAAAUUCCCAUUUCGGUGCCUAUUCUUAACUAAGUCAUUAUUAGAUUCCUGGGUGAUAGGAAUUUUACCAUUUUUCUAGCUAGCUACUUUGUAGAUGGAAAAUGAAGGCAAAUGCUUUUUUUUUUUUUUUUAAAUAGCUAUACAGCAAAAAACCUAAGCAAGAACAUGUCAUUUUUAUAUCCCAAGACACUCAAUAGAUUUUUGCUUCUAACUUUAGUACAUAGUUGGGGAUGUUCCUUUAUUUUAUCAACUGAUGGCUGCCAGAUAAUUGCUUGAAUUUUCUCCAGGAAAGAUUGGGAAACUAUCAAAAAAGAAAGUCUAUUCAGUUCAACUCAAACACAUAAGUACCCUCUAUGUUCAAGGCAGAGAGCUAGAGACAUAGAGUUGAGUAAUGCAAUUCUUGUUCUCAAGAGUUAAGAGUCUAGUAGGGAAACUGUCCAGUAAACAAAUUAAUGAUAUUAAUGUCAUUUUCCCAAAUUGGAAUCAAAUUACAACUUUAAAUUCAUGAGUGUAUUUUAUUACAUUAUUUAAUAUAUUGAAUGAAAUAUUACCUAAAACACUGUCCAGUCAUGGAGAAAUAAUUUCAUUGCCUAUCAUUCAUAUCCUUAAAGUGACUGUUAUGUGGGAAUUAAAAUCAUGGUUAUAGGGGAUAUUUAAUAACUUGGAAAAUUUUUAUGUGCAAAAAUGUUAAGUGAAAAAAGUAGGGUAUAUUGGGAAUUCCUAUUGUAGCUCAGUGGAUUAUGAACCCAACUAGCAUCCGUGAGGAUGCAGGUUUGAUCACUGGCCUCACUCAGGAUCAGCCAUUGCUGUGAGCUGUGGUGUAGGUCACAGAUGCAGUUUGGAUCCUGCAUUGCUGUGGCUGUGGUGUAGGCCAGCAGCUGCAGCUCUGAUUCGAAACAAGCCUUGGAACUCCCAUAUGCCGUGGGUGUGACCCUAAAUAGACAAAAAAAAAAAGCAAAAAGGAUAUACAUUUGUAUCUAUAUUAUGAAUAUAAUUAAAGGAAAAUAUGCAUCAACCAAAAGAAAAUUUGUAAAAAAAAAAAAAAAAAAUUAGGUGUUAGAAUAAACACCCACAACUUGUAGCAACAAUCUGUCAAUUGUGGGGUUUUUUUUGUUUCUUGUUUAAAAAAUACCCUCAACAUGCAUUAUAUUACUUUUAAAAAAUAAACAGAGCAUAAAUAUAUAAGGAAAAUCCUUUGAAAUUCAAUCCCAAUUAUCCUGUUCUGAUGGACAACUGAUAUAUAGACAUGGACUAAUAUAACUUUUACUUAAUCAGCCACAUUAUAAAGUAGGGAAGAAGGUAAGCCCCCUUUUGGAUAUUAUCGUGCUCUGGAACUACCUUAUGAUUUCCCACCAUAUAUUAUGCAUGCACCUGUUAUAUUUUCUCGAUUAGAAUCUAUGUUCUUUGAGUUGGCAUCCAAGUACCUUAAUGGAAUAGCAGUUCUCAACCAUGCUGCCUCCAAACCAUGAGUAUAAAGUUAGUGGAAUAGAAAGGGCUCUAGUUUAUGCUAGAAAGGAAACUACACAGAUGCCUCAGCCUAUAUGAUAUAUGCCACAGCUCUUUUCAUACAUGAGCAUGCCUAUUUGUGUCCUGAAGUGUGAGGACAGUGUUGUUGUGCUCAACACAGUAUCUUGCACAAAGCAGUGGUAAGCCUUUAUGGACAGGUAAUAAUAGUAGCAUAAUGUUUCCAGAUGUUGGUUCUUUGUUACCAUGGCAUGGUUUUUGUUGAAUCAGUGUGUGAUGUGCACUAUUAUUAAAGUCAACUCAUUUUAAAAACCUAAAUACCCUAAAGUAAAAAUUUACUGUACAAUUUUAAAUGGAAAAUCAGAAAACAGUAAAUGUAAAGUAAUUUUAAAAACCUAAACAAUGGCUACAAAAUAAUGUUACCUUCUAGCUAAAAUUUCUUAUCUUCCAAGGCUCUGAGCUUGAACCCUGAUCUCCAUUUGGGACAAUGGCCAGGGUUAGAGAGUGUUAAAAUGUAGCUAUCCUCUUCCUUGUAAUCAGAGGAUUGACAGUAAAUUCGAAAGGGGAUAACUUUGUCUUCCUAUAUUCAGGGUUACUAAGCAUUUUAUGCCUCCUAAAAUCAGAGUAUCACAUUGGAAUUCAUCCCACACUUUGGAAAAUACAUUAAGGACUUAUGCAAUGAGCUUUUCACUUCUGAUAUUUCAUUUGUCAGAAUCCUGUAGGAGCAAUGAGACAUAAAGUAUCAUUUCGUAGAGUGAGGUACCUGACAAAUGCUGGAAAGGAGACCUGCACUUAAGCCCUCUGUCUACACCCUCAACGGUCUCUAAUUCCCAUUUCCUUCCUCUAACAUCCUCUCCUCUCUAUGUAGCUUUGGACAUCUCUUUUCCUCUUAUGGCUUGGUGUCACUUGCUACAGAUUGAAUAUUCAUGAGUAUUCUGUCCUUCAGCUGAGUGAUUUCUAAUGAGGGAACAGAGACAUCACAUCUCAAUUUCUUGGUUUAUUUCUUUGAGUUGAAAAUAUGUACAUGGGGCUGAAACUUUAUAUAUACAUGUAUACUUGUGCAUGUCUGAGAUUGAGUUGGUAUUUGUGUCUCCUUGGAGAAUAUACAUACACAUUACACACAAACAUGCAAACUAUAUAUACAUUAUGUAUGUGUGUGUGUACAUAUACACACACAUCCUAGGGAGGCGUAUGUGUGUUUGCCAGUUUAUUUGCAUUUUGGUAAACAUUUCUGGAAUAAGGGGGAAUCACACCUUAAAUAUUAUGUUUACCUUCAUGCACUAUACAUACUAAUUAUUCUCAUUUGGAUAAACUGUCUAGAAAGAAAACCAAUAAAUGGCUCAGCAAACAGAUUUUUAUGAGUGAAAAAUGAAGGUGAAAAACCGAUGAAGUAUGAAAGAGCUCAAAGAACAUAAAACAGCAUAUAAAAGGAAAUAAUUCUAGCAAUUCUAAAUUCAUUUCAGAGAAAACAAUAUCAUUUGAGGUUUUAACUCAACCAAUUCAGGGAUAUAACUCACAGGUUAUGUUUAUGUGGACUUUUACUUGAGUAUUUAAAGUCAGGUGAAAUCUUAAUUUAUUUUUAAGAUAAGAUCAUUGUGAUUUAAACUAGGCCAGGUAGAUUGCUUUGGGUAGUAUGGCCAUUUUUACAAUAUUGAUUUUUCCAAUCCAGGAACAUGGAAUAUCUUUCCAUUUCUUUACAUCUUCUUUGAUUUC
Sus scrofa (pig) is the source of this 9798-nucleotide non-coding RNA. The record is from RefSeq and is a predicted model, not a curated record. NCBI's taxonomy places the organism in Eukaryota, Metazoa, Chordata, Mammalia, Artiodactyla, Suidae.